UCCUAGCCCUGAUGGGAGGGAAAAUCCUUUUGUGCCGGGGUUCGGCACAAAAGAUUGGAAGGACAGCAGGAAAUAGC
Molecule: small RNA, 77 nt
Filed under: Flavobacterium chilense
Lineage: Bacteria; Pseudomonadati; Bacteroidota; Flavobacteriia; Flavobacteriales; Flavobacteriaceae
Also listed under: 2 other names
Description: Flavo-1 RNA
Rfam family: Flavo-1 RNA
Source: RNAcentral